GAUGAACGCUGGCGGCGUGCCUAAUACAUGCAAGUCGAGCGAACAGACGAGGAGCUUGCUCCUCUGACGUUAGCGGCGGACGGGUGAGUAACACGUGGAUAACCUACCUAUAAGACUGGGAUAACUUCGGGAAACCGGAGCUAAUACCGGAUAAUAUAUUGAACCGCAUGGUUCAAUAGUGAAAGACGGUUUUGCUGUCACUUAUAGAUGGAUCCGCGCCGCAUUAGCUAGUUGGUAAGGUAACGGCUUACCAAGGCAACGAUGCGUAGCCGACCUGAGAGAGUGAUCGGCCACACGGGAACUGAGACACGGUCCAGACUCCUACGGGAGGCAGCAGUAGGGAAUCUUCCGCAAUGGGCGAAAGCCUGACGGAGCAACGCCGCGUGAGUGAUGAAGGUCUUCGGAUCGUAAAACUCUGUUAUUAGGGAAGAACAAAUGUGUAAGUAACUAUGCACGUCUUGACGGUACCUAAUCAGAAAGCCACGGCUAACUACGUG
RNAcentral lists this ribosomal RNA (497 nucleotides) under uncultured bacterium. Its description in RNAcentral is "partial 16S ribosomal RNA". It matches the Rfam family "Bacterial small subunit ribosomal RNA", at positions 28 to 507 of the family's 1533-position model. The record is from RNAcentral.